This 253-nucleotide ribosomal RNA is filed under the name uncultured bacterium. RNAcentral's name for it is "partial 16S ribosomal RNA". It matches the Rfam family "Bacterial small subunit ribosomal RNA", at positions 524 to 776 of the family's 1533-position model. The record is from RNAcentral.
UACAGAGGGUGCAAGCGUUGUUCGGAAUUAUUGGGCGUAAAGCGCGUGUAGGCGGCUUUGCAAGUCGGGUGUGAAAGCCCUCAGCUCAACUGAGGAAGUGCGCCCGAAACUGCAGAGCUUGAGUACCGGAGAGGAUGGCGGAAUUCCCCAAGUAGAGGUGAAAUUCGUAGAUAUGGGGAGGAACACCGGUGGCGAAGGCGGCCAUCUGGACGGAUACUGACGCUGAGGCGCGAAAGCGUGGGUAGCAAACAGG